RNAcentral lists this ribosomal RNA (200 nucleotides) under uncultured bacterium. RNAcentral's name for it is "partial 16S ribosomal RNA". It matches the Rfam family "Bacterial small subunit ribosomal RNA", at positions 328 to 539 of the family's 1533-position model. The record is from RNAcentral.
ACGCUCGACACCUACGGGAGGCAGCAGGUGGGGAAUAUUGCACAAUGGGGGAAACCCUGAUGCAGCGACGCCGCGUGGAGGAAGAAGGUCUUCGGAUUGUAAACUCCUGUUGUUAGGGGAAAAAGAGGAUGGUACCCAACAAGGAAGUGACGGCUAACUACGUGCCAGCAACCGAGGUAAUCUGAGCGGGCUGGCAAGGC